AGCACUUUCCUGGAGGGUUCCAUAGCGAGGGACUGUGCCAAGGCUUUUUAAGGGAGUGAAGCAGAGAGGGAGCUGGAGGGGAUGCCCCAGAGAAGACGCUGCCGGCUCUGGUUUUCACACUGUAAUUUUGCUUUGAGUUCUUGGUGUGUGAGUCACAUGCGAAAGUCUCUUGUUUUUGCAAGGCCUGCGUCUGCUGCUGCUGCUGCCGCCUUCACAGCAGCUGCCACCUCUAGGUAGGAGGCCCGGAUCUCAGGCAGGACCCCCUGUCUGCCACUGGGUGCUGCAGAUAUGAGAGUGAAGCACAAGGACGGAGGACCGUAAUCUUGGGGCCCACUGCUGGGGAGGGGUUUUCCAUCUUUUGCAUCACAUGCAAAUGAAAUGCUAAUACAAUGCAAAUGAGUGGGUGCCCUCAGAGCCCAGAGGCUUGCUGGGUAAACCGUGUAGGGAGGCCACUCAGCUCUGGUUGGCCUCUGCCUUCCAGAAGAUGCUCAUCCCACCUUGCCCCCCAGGAGAGCCCUGGCUUUGGGCCGUUCUGAUACCUCCUUCUAGAAAUGCACCCUGGGCACUUAGUAAUCCCUGAGGGGCCUCAGAUCCUUGUGAGAAGUCGGUGGGGCAUAACCCCUAAAUUAAUAACUAAAAAGGAUCCUGUGGCUUCUGUUUGCUCCUUUGUGGCCUGUGCCCAGGCCUGGACACAUAAGGCCUGCUGAUCGGCCCAGGUCCAGCCAAGGGGCCAGGCUGGCCCAGCAAGGCCUCGGAGAUGUGGGACAGCCCUCUUCCCACCGGGCCGCACCCCUGGGCCUGGACAACAGGUUCUGAUGAGGCCAGGAAGCUGGCUGGAAAGGCUGACUCCUGGGAGGGAGUGUGGGGGCUGUUUAACAGCUGGCAGAGCCCCUGGAAAUUUCCCAGACAUGGUCCCCACUCUACCCAGACGGGGCCAGGGUGUUCAGAUGAGAAGAUGAGCCACGGGGGAAGCGGCGAGGAAGAGGGUGACAGGGAUCCCUCUUUCUCCUCCAGGGCCCAAGAAGGAGGAGGGCUUUGGCUUCCAGGAACGCAAAGGGCCCACCCCAUUGAGGGCACUGCUGCAGCGCUCGGAGGACAAGCCACAACAGUCCCCUAAGCCAGGCCCGGCCAGAUCCUGUCUUUUUCUGGGGGCCCAAAUUACACUCUCCCCAGUCUCCUCAGAGUCUGGCUUCAGCCUGAAGUGCUCCAGGCUCUGGGCUGGUGCGUUGCAGGGCGCUCCGUCUCUCCUGCCUGUCCGUCUCGCUCCCUGCCUCUCAUUUCACAGUUUAUCUUCUUAAGGAUCCAUUUCUUCUCGGCAGCCCCAGCGGGGUCCCAACAUCUCGCUCAAGCCAGCUGCAGGAUCUGAGCCUGAUGGCCCGGCCUGCCUUGCCCCCUGCUCCUGAAUAGACGUAGCUCCCCCGCCCCCCAUUGCAGGUCCCCUCCCCCCCGGGUGAGGGGAGGUGCUCGGUGGUCCCAGCCACGUGACUGGAGUCUCCUGCUUGUGCAGACUGCAGGGAUCUCCAAGGAUGAGGUCGGGCUGAGCUCAUUCAAGACGCCUCCGUGGCCUGAGGCUGAGGAUCUUUGUGAGAUGAAGAUGCGGCUGCUGGUCAGAGCCGCAUAGGGUACCCCCAUCUGCCCAGGCACGGGGGAUUGCAGGGUGACAGGGGAGCAGGGUCAGAGUUUGGUAGAGGGUUGUCCAAGAAAAAGAAAUCCUUGGGUUGAUAAGACCUGUCCUGUGAAGGUCCCCACGGGAAGUCCCCAGGCACCUGAGCCUUAGUUGCUGGGAAAAUUCGACACCUCCUUGAUGGCCUCAUCCUGGACAGACACGCGCCACUCAUGGUCUCCUCACACCCCUUUAGGUGAGGGGCCACCCGGAGGCCCGCUCACCCACGGCCCCUCCAACACAGAGGGGCAUGUGUCGAAAACAGCAGGGACCAAACGCCUUUGAGCCACCAGAAUGACCUCUCCCUGGAGACCCAAGGGGACGGUGGGUUUCCAAGAAGAGGUGGCUUCCCCAUGUCUGUGCCCUGCUGUCGUUGGAAACACAUCCUCCCCUUUCAUCAUCUGAAGAUUUCUUUAAAAGGGUUUUGUGCUGCGGCAGUUCGGGGUGAAGUUCGGAGGAUCUGAUUCUAAAAGGCUUUUUCUCCACCCAAGACCCUCAGAGAGUUGCCCUCGAGACACUUGAGAGGCAAAACAGGGCUCAGGAGUUUGGUUGUGGCUUUGGGAUCCUGAAUGUUUUCCCUUCCGAGCUGUUCACAUGUAAGUGAAGAUUAUUCAGCCGGGACUUUUAUUGUAAAUUAAUUUCAAAACCAAGUCUGGGGGUGAAGAAUGAUGGCGUUUGUUCAUCAGCCCAACCUGUGUUUCCUUCCAGAAGAAAGCCGGAUGCCGUUGAGCAAGAGCUGGGAAUGUGAGGCUUGCCCUGAUCGCAGCCAUGUCAAGGGUCCUGACAUUGUCGCCGUCUUUUCCUUCGAGGGGAUGUGCUCAGGGAAGAGGUGAAACGGGAGAUGCCGAGGAGAAUCCGUGCUGGGGGCUGUGAACCUCCACCUACGGUCCAGGCCCCAGGAAUGCCACAGCUUCCUGAGUUGGGGCUGCCAGAGCCUUGGCCAGGCCCCAGCUUGCCUGCUGGAGAGUCUGUAGGUGUCUCCCCGGGUGUGCUGAGAUACGCGUUCUUGCUUUUUUCCGAACCCGAGGCCACACAGCGUGCUGUUUUGUCACUUGCCAAGCCAUGAGCGGCACAGUAGAUAUUUCCUUUCACCGCCCGAUCAGCUUGACUGCGUCUCUUCCCAAGCUCCUCUGGAAGUGUCCCUCUUCGGUAGAGAUGGGCCGGCAGGCCUGGAAGAGUGGUGUGAGGCCCUCCGGGACCACAUCGCAAGCUUUCCGAGUCCGGGGGAUCAGCGCACUCAUUUCUCGAGAGGUGGUUUGCUGCGGACACUGGCCCACGCCUGCAGCCCUGCACUGCCGACCCCCAGGUCACCCCAGGCCCACUUCUGCCUGGCCCAGAGCCUGAGCUGUGUUCUGUUCAGCUGGUGUCUUGGUGAGUCAGCCUGGUCGGAGAGCCCACCUUGCAAGGAGAGGGAUGCAGGAUGGGCCAAAGGCCAUCAGAAGCCAUCAGGUCCCAGGUGGCAGGUGGAGGGCGGUUCUGAGCUUGCAUGGGCUUGUGGGCCCUUGGAAGAUCUGAUGAAAAUAGGAGACUUCUGGAGUUCCCAUCGUGGUGCAGCGGAAACAAAUCCGACUAGGAACCAUGAGGUUGCAGGUUCGAUCCCUGGCCUCGCUCAGUGGGUUAAGGGUCUGGCGUUGCCGUGAGCUGUGGUGGAGGUCACAGACGAGGCUCCGAUCUGGUGUUGCUGUGGCUGUGGUGUAGGCCGGCGGCUAUAGCUCCUAUUAGACCCCUAGCCUGGGAACCUCCAUAUGCCGCAGGUGCGGCCCUAAGAAAGACAAAAAAAAAAGAAAAGAAAAUAGGAGGCUUCUCAGGUAAAACACCCACAUCUGCCCGGUUCUGUAUACAAUUCCACAGAUGGCAGGUGAGGAACCCCUGAGGGCAGCAGUUUUCCUGGGGACCUGUGAUGACCUGGAGACCCAUUCCUCGGCCUUCUAGGAAUGUAUGUCAAGGCCCUGGGAAGGCUGUGACCUCAGCCCUUCCCCAUUACACAGGGCAGGGCCUCCUUCACAGAGCAGCGGUGUCGGCCCCGGGAACAGAUGGAUGGACGGGCAGAUGAAGAGAUGCACGCAUGCGUGGAUCUGGAGGCCAGGGACUAGGGUGUGAGCUUCCCCGGCGAUAAUGCUGAUCACAGCCAGCAUUCGCUGCAGCUGUAGCAGCGGCCAGGCGCUCCCCUCAUGCGCCUGACUUCACCCAAUCCCAUGAAAGGAAGGUACUGUGAUUAUAAGUGAGUUGACUUUUUACAGCGCUGGAAGCAGGCUGAGACUUGUGCAAGGCCACACAGCCUUGCGCGUGGGAAGCCAGAAUAUCUGUGCUCGACCUCGAAGCUGCACGGCCUGCAUGGAGGGCAGGAGGGAGUCGCGUGAGCUGACAAGGUAGGUGUUCCGUCUGCCAGGACCCACUGGGAACUCUGGGCCUGGGCCUGGCUUCCCAGCAGGCAUGGAGAAUGCUUGGUUGUGGCUCAGCAGAAAUGCACCUGACGAGUAUCCGUGAGGAUGCAGGUUCAAUCCCUGGCCUCACUCAGUGGGUUAAGGAUCCCCCACUGUUACUGUUGCUGUGGCGUCAGCUGGCAGCUGCCGUUUCAACUCAACCCCUCGCCUGGGAACUUCCAUGUGCUGUGGAUGUAGCCCUAAAAAGAC
RNAcentral lists this long non-coding RNA (4296 nucleotides) under Sus scrofa (pig). RNAcentral describes it as "lncRNA (ENSSSCG00040060344.1)". The record is from RNAcentral. Lineage: Eukaryota; Metazoa; Chordata; Mammalia; Artiodactyla; Suidae.